AGUUAAAAGCCCCGACGAAUCGGAGCAUGCCGCAUGGCAAGACGCGCUGACAUGGUGCCACGCGGGAGGCCACGUUGGCGAUCUGCGUGGCCGUAAUCGGACGGUCCAAAUUUGUUCCCAUGCGCACGGACGGUCCAGAUCCGUUCUCUCCUCAGACGCGAUCGGACGGUCAUGAUUAAACGUGAUGCGUGGUCCAGAUCUACUUUUUAUUUAAAUGCGAUCGGACGAUCCAA
Molecule: long non-coding RNA, 233 nt
Filed under: Carica papaya (papaya)
Lineage: Eukaryota; Viridiplantae; Streptophyta; Magnoliopsida; Brassicales; Caricaceae
Description: long non-coding RNA (CPAP_LNC007628)
Source: RNAcentral